Molecule: long non-coding RNA, 241 nt
Filed under: Lathyrus oleraceus (garden pea)
Lineage: Eukaryota; Viridiplantae; Streptophyta; Magnoliopsida; Fabales; Fabaceae
Description: Pisum sativum (pea) long non-coding RNA (PSAT_LNC036609)
Source: RNAcentral
AAAUAAGGGGCUUAUUCUCAUUUAAUAUUUUUUUUACACUCUUGUAUUGAUAGUCUAACAUCCUCUCUCUUAUUAUUUCUUUUAUUUUUUAUUUUAUUUUUUUAUUGUUUUUAUUACUUUAUUUUUUAGUUCAUUGAUUUUUAUUUAUUGUUUCCCUUUUAGAAUUAGGGCCUCAGUCCUAUUUAGUUUUUCACUAUUUCACCUCUUGCAUUGAUAGUGUGUCUCCCUCCUUUUUAUUUUU